CAUUAUCUGCUAAACAUGUGAC
RNAcentral lists this non-coding RNA (22 nucleotides) under Rattus norvegicus (Norway rat). The record is from RNAcentral. Lineage: Eukaryota; Metazoa; Chordata; Mammalia; Rodentia; Muridae.